GAGGAAAGUCCGGACUCCUAAUAGAAAUAAAUUGCUGAAUAAACUUCAGUAUAAGCAAUUAUGAGGAAAGUGCCACAGAAAAAAACCGCCUUGCGUAAUACUUUUCUAUGUAAGGUAAGGGUGCAAAGGUGUAUUAAGAGUACACCAGAAGUAUUAUUAAGAUACUUGCUAGGUAAACCCCAUUGAGGAGUAAAGAGGUAACAUUAAAGAUUUCUAUAAUUAACGAAUUAAAAAAUUUGUUGUGUUAACGACUAAAUACCGCUUUAAGUAGUGUAUUUUACACUACCUUAGAUCAAUAACUACCCUUGCUUUAAGUAUGAAGGAGUAAGAACAGAAUCCGGCUUAU
RNAcentral lists this RNase P RNA (346 nucleotides) under Trichogloeopsis pedicellata. RNAcentral's name for it is "Ribonuclease P RNA". It matches the Rfam family "Bacterial RNase P class A", at positions 43 to 352 of the family's 367-position model. From Rfam's summary of the family: Ribonuclease P (RNase P) is a ubiquitous endoribonuclease, found in archaea, bacteria and eukarya as well as chloroplasts and mitochondria. The record is from RNAcentral. Lineage: Eukaryota; Rhodophyta; Florideophyceae; Nemaliales; Liagoraceae.